GUAGGAGGCGAGCGUUAUCCGGAUUUACUGGGCGUAAAGAGGGCGUAGGCGGUUUUUCAAGUCGAUUGUAAAAUCUCCCGGCUUAACUGGGAGGGGACAGUCGAUACUGUUGGACUAGAGGACAGCAGGAGGAGGUGGAAUUCCCGGUGGAGUGGUGAAAUGUGUAGAUAUCGGGAGGAACACCAGUGGCGAAAGCGGCCUCCUAGGCUGUUUCUGACGCUGAGGUCCGAAAGCGUGGGUAGCAAACAGGAUCAGAUACCCUGGUAGUCCACGCCGUAAACGAUGGACACUAGGUAUAGGGAGUAUCGACCCUCUCUGUGCCGAAGCUAACGCAUUAAGUGUCCCGCCUGGGGAGUACGGCCGCAAGGCUAAAACUCAAAGGAAUUGACGGGGGCCCGCACAAGCAGCGGAGCGUGUGGUUUAAUUCGAUGCAACGCGAAGAACCUUACCAAGGCUUGACAUGGCGGGAGUAGCGACCUGAAAGGGAAGCCACCUGUUGAGUCAGGAACCGUCACAGGUGCUGCAUGGCUGUCGUCAGCUCGUGCUGUGAGGUGUUAGGUUAAGUCCUGUAACGAGCGCAACCCCUGUUGCUAGUUGUUUUCUCUAGCGAGACUGCCCUGUAAAAUGGGGAGGAAGGUGGGGAUGACGUCAAGUCAGCACGGCCCUUAUGCCUUGGGCUACACACACACUACAAUGGGUGGUACAAUGGGUAGCAAUAGAGCAAUCUGGAGCCAAUCCUGUAAAGCCAUCCUCAGUUCGGAUUGCAGGCUGAAACCCGCCUGCAUGAAGUUGGAGUUGCUAGUAACCGCAGGUCAGCAUACUGCGGUGAAUACGUUCUCGGGCCUU
Molecule: ribosomal RNA, 846 nt
Filed under: uncultured microorganism
Description: bacterial SSU rRNA
Rfam family: Bacterial small subunit ribosomal RNA
Source: RNAcentral